RNAcentral lists this long non-coding RNA (4307 nucleotides) under Bemisia tabaci. RNAcentral describes it as "lncRNA ENSASIAIIG013485". The record is from RNAcentral. Lineage: Eukaryota; Metazoa; Arthropoda; Insecta; Hemiptera; Aleyrodidae.
UUUAAAAAUAUCCCGCGAAAUGUUUUUUAUCUAUGACUUCCAAGAAGUAUUGAUUAUUAAUUUAUCGUAUUUAUCUGUUUAAAUGCUGAUCGUCUUUAUUUCGCCGCUGUAAUUUUUAUUUUGCCCACUUCACAUGCAGCAACUGGGAAUCGUAAUUGGCACGUAAGAGGUGAUAGACGACAACAACAAAAAGUACCGAUCCUAACCUCAAAUCAUCGACUCCUCUCGUGGCCUAGUUCAUGUUUGCGCGCUCCUUCCGCAUUUCCGCGUGAUGUUAUGUGAAAAUAAAACUAAGUAAUAAAAGUGACUAGUGAGCCAAAAAUGUCGUGAAUUGAAUAAGUGUCAAGAAUGUCUAGAAGAGGGGAGCGAAUGGUCCUUGCGGCCAUUCAAAAUAAAGAAUGUGUUUUGCAGCAGCCUGCCAGAAAGAGGAAGUUAUUGCCUAAAGUUAUUUCUGAAGUCAAGCCGGUACAUUCCAAAAGAAGGGCGACUCUGAGAGGGGCCAAGAAAAAUCUUUUUAAUGCGAAUUAUGAACCAUCAGCUGGAGGACAAAGUACAAAAAACAAUGACGUGCCUGAGCAAUUGAAUUCUGUACGGCCAGCCACAAGACAAACAGCAAUCCAGAAAGAUAUACCUCAGUCACUGAACUCUGUAUUGACAGCCAUAGAACAAGAAGCAAUCAAAGAAAAUGAGCCUGAGCCAUCGAACGAGUGGUAUUGUCACCGGUGGAUUCAGAACGAUUGUAAACUGACAUCCGAUACAGAAAAAUAUGUAGAUGUUGCUUGUGAGCAAACUGGAGUUACAGCGGAAAUCCUGAGUGAAAGUCGAACUAUCUUAGACUUUUCUGGAGAGCUAACAGGAGUUACAGCAAAUGCUCACACUGAAGUUGAGCCCAACUUCAAUAUUCCGUUUGAAAGAAUAGAAGAAACAGCUAGAGUUCAUGCCGACGGUAAAACUGACUCUGGCAUUUCUUGUGAAGAUAAUGUUGUAGCAGCAGAAUCUCAGUUUGGGGAUGGAAGUAACGCCGACGUUCUGACGACAGCUUUGAAGGCAAACGAGUCUCAACCUUUGGUUCAAGUCUUAAAAUAUCAAGAGGAAGCCUGCUCAGUCUUAGAUCAGACACUUGAAGAUCUCUUUAGUAUAGAUACGGCUGCAGCACCAGUCCAAGUCAUUGAAGCCACUAACGCUGCUGAACAGUCCCACCUCAAAACUUGUCAAAAGAAUCCUUUCGCCUCCAUCCUCUCAGCAAAUGCAACAGGUGAAAAGAAUAUUUCUGAAAUCUCAUCUUCGCGUUCAGAACCUGUUUCUUUGUCGAAUGUUUAUAACUAUCCGGAGGAGUCUUCCUCCUCAGUUUCUCAAAAUUUCAUGAAUAGGCAUUCAACAAAAGCUUCGUCUUUGAAUGAACCUUUCGUAACACAGUAUGACGAAAUUCCUGACAUUCCCAUGUUUGGUAUUGUACCGGAUGGAGACUCUUCCGCACUGCCUGACAAUAACCGUGAUCCUGAUGUUAUAGACAUUGAUUCCUUACCCAUAUCUUAUCAGUCCAGUAUCUCUCUCUCUGCCUUUGAAGUCAUACCUGGAAAUGCUGUUAUCGAAAAUACUCUUAGUGAAGGAACUUUCCACCUGCCUGUUAUCAACCCCAUACCUAAAAAUGCUACCGCCGAACCAUCUUCUCUUAGUGAAGGAACUUUCUACCUGCCUGUUAUCAACCCCAUACCUAAAAAUGCUACCGCCGAACCAUCUACUCUCAGUGAGGGAACUUUCCACCUGCCUGAUAUCAACCCCACACCUAAAAAUGCUACCACCGAACCUGCUGCCUCAGAAAAUUAUGCGACUGAUAAUAAUAUUCCUGGUCAAUGUAAGCAGAAAAAAGUGUACAGAAGAAUAAUGAAGUGGGACAGGGAAAAUGCUUGUAUCUACUGUCUAAAUAUAUUGGACGACCCUGACUUGUUCCCAAAACCCAAAAAGGUAUUAUGGACCAAUUUCUCGAAGCAUCUUAUUCAACACCACCCAAAUGAAGAUUUAGUUAAAGAGUACAAGGCAGUCCCAGAUAGCGAUCCUGAGCAAAAGAAAAAAAGAACUAAAAAACAGAUGAAAUUCGCGGAAAGGGCAAUCUCCUAUAUAACAGAAAAGUUGUUGCGGGAGAAGUUAAAGGAAGCCUCAUAGUUGUCAAAAGAUCAAGACAUAGGCAGAUGACAGAAUUAACUGAAGCACCUUGUGCUCACUGUGGGGGAUUAUUUGCUCGGCGAACACUGUAUGCUCAUGAAAAGUUCUGUGAAAAAAAUGAAUUGAGACACGCACCGCCUCCAGAUGGUCAAAGGAGAAAAUGCCUGACUUCGAGUGGCAAUUGGCUGGAAGGAGAAAACAAUGAAGAUGACGCCUUUCUAACAGACUUUGUGUUUCCUCAUUUACGCUUCGGCGAAGCUGCUCUUAUAGCUAAGAGAGAUCCACUCAUUAGACAGUUAGCAAGUAGGAUGGGUAAGAAACAUUUGAGACAAAGUAUUUAAAGUAUAUUGCGAGCCGAAUGCGUAACUUGGCUAAUUUUUUAAUUAUCAUGCGGAAGCAAAGUAAUGAGGUCGAGAAUUUAGAAGAUUGUUUUUGUGUUGCUCAGUACGAUAAUGUUCUUACCGCAGCAAAAUUGCAAUGUGGGAUGGAUGAAAUGACAAAACAAAUGAGGUCACCCAGUGUCAUUCCAUUCCUGAAAAGAAACAUACUGGAUUGUCUUGAGAGAAUGCGAGACAAUGCUCUGCGGCUACCUCACCUAGAAGAGGAGCUUGCCGCAAAGAGGGAAGUGGACAACUUUAAGCAACUACUGGAAAACAAUUGGGGACAUGAACUCGCUGCUCUUGCUGACCGAUUGCUAAAAGAAAGAAAAAUGAAAAAACCAGAGAUCAUGCCACUGAGCGCAGACAUAGUCGCGGGAUGUAAAGAAAUUGAAAAACUUGAAGCUGAAUAUUUGGUGAAGAUCAAGAAAAAUCCUACACAAGGUUUACACGAAAAACUGUCAAAAAUACUCAUAGCUCACUUCCUGCUUCUUGGGAGAAAAAGGCCGACUGAGGUCGCCACAGCGAAGUUAACUGAUUAUCUGGAAAACAUUGAAGAAUUAAAUGAAGAUGAUGAAAAAUUAUUACAAAUGUUGUCUCCUGAGGAAAGAGAAAGUUAUGAAGAGCUGUAUACAUUUAAUAUUUUUGGAAAAGGAACCAAGCCAAGCGCGUGCCUCCUUACCCGCCGUAUGAGAGAGUGUCUAGAUGCACUGAUAGAAACAAGAAAAUACGUAGGAGUGCGCUCUGAAAAUCCAUUACUAUUUGCCAAACCCUAUAAUCCCAAUUGUAGGUAUGAUGAAUACUACGAUGGGACAAAAUGUGUUUCUUAUGUCAAAUCUUUGUUUGCACCUCAGAAGCCUGAGCACUUCAAGGCAAAUGGUUUCAGGCACCACGCAGCAACAAUGUUUAAUGUCUUGGACAAAGGAGAAUCUUUCAGGAAACAAGCAGCAGCUCAGAUGGGACACACCUUUAAUAUUCAUAAUAGUGUUUACACAAAUAAAAAGAGUGUGAUUCAGAGAGGAGUUGUUGGGCAUCAGAUGCUGCUGAUGACCCGACAAUCUAUUAUAGAUACUGCAAACACUAGUCGGUCAAAAGAUCAUCAAAGAAUUGACCAUCAAGGAACAGCAGGAGAGAAAGACCUUCACGAAUCAAAAAAUCUUUCGGAAAUAGAAAAGUGUCAAGAAACAGAAGAACGUCAAGAAACAGAAGAGUGUAAAGGAACAGAAGAGCAUCAAGGAACAGAGGAGCAUCAAGGAACGGAAGAGCGUCAAGGAACAAAUGGCCAGCAUGAUUUAGAAGAUUUUAAUGACUCUUUUGACAGUGCUGAUGACUACAUCCCAACUCCGCCACCAAAAAAAACAAAGAAAAACCCAAUUAAGAGACCAAAAUGGAGUCACGAGGCUAAAAAGGCACUGUAUGAUCGAUUUGGUGCCAACGUGGUAUCGAAAAAGAUGCCACCUCCAGGAGAGCUCAAAUUAUUCGUCGAAACAGAAGCUGAAAUGCAAAGUAGAACCCUGGUACAGGUUCGAGCGUAUCUAGAUGCAGCCAUAAAAGGUAAAAGUAAGUACCCAACUGAGUACUUAACACAGUUUCUAAAAUAAUUUUAAUACUCAUGUUCACAGGGCUGUAUAAUAUUCUGUUGCUGUCAAAUCCCCUGUUUGAACAGAAUUUUUGGUUUUUUCCUGUCAUAUCUCUGCGCUUCUCCAGUCAGCUGUAAAACUUCAAAUUCUUAAUAAUAAUUUCCAAAAACUAUCUCUAGAAUAUUGA